GCCUCAUAAAUAAGUGAAGAGGCGACAUAAAACACCGUGUCUCCAGUACAGGGCUUCCUCAGGAGAACGGACCUCGACCCACUUCUGCUCAACAUCCUGACUUUCUGCGGCAGUUUCCGAAGGGAGGGAACUCUUAAGAGUCACCUCAGGCAUGCCUCCGCUUCUGUGCUGGCCUCGAUGCACCCUCAUCCAAGAGGUCAAGAGCUGAGAAAUGCGCUUUUUCCUACCACGCCACCCAGGCUGAGGGUAACCAGAGGAAGCUGAGAAGUCUGCUCUGCUUCGAGGACGAGAGGAAUAGAGGAUCAGAGAACCAGGCAAGGCCAGCAGCUUGCCGAAGGGAGGAACCCUCUAACUUCUAAGAUAAACAUGGAGUGGAGACCAAAGAUGGGUGGGGUGCUAAGGACCCACAAAAUCCCUGGGUCCUGUUAGGAGCUAUUCAAGUGUGUCGUGGUGGUAGCUAGCACUUAUUAAAUGUCUUGCGCUAACCACUAUGCCCAAAACUAGGUUAUACCAGGAAGUCAGUGUGUACAGAGGCUGGGAACAUCAGUCUACACAACACACAACCGGGCUCAAGUCUUUGACUUUGUUCCUCACUAGCUCUGUGACCUUGAAUAAGUUACUUAAGGACCCUAUGUCUCAGGUGCUUCAUCAAUAAAAUGGGAAUGCUAAUAGCAGCACCCAUAGAAACCCAGAAGAUCAAGAGCAUUGCCGUCCAUAAAGCUCUUAGAACAUUGCCUGUAGUAAGCUUUGGCUAUUCUGAUUCCGUUGAAUCUUCACACAAAGCUCUGAAGUAGAUCUCAUUAACUGUGGAGGCUCCGGGAAGCUGAAUGACUCUCCUGAGAUCCCCAGGUCUGUUUGAUUGACAGAGCCUGAGUGUCCUUCUAAGUGCCCCUAGCUGUCCCCAUCUUUGGGAGGAUGUAGAUUCGCAAAAGCUAGCUCUUGUGUCCCAUAGCCAUUCUGGCUUGGAAACCACUGCCUCUGCACCAGAACUGGAACAAAAGUGAUCUCCACCCUGCCUCGGAGGCCUGCCGGAUUGCCCCCUGGGCCCAGCCCGCAGGUCCCUCCCACAGACUAUGGCAACAGCCAGAACUGGGAGCCUCCUAGGUGCUACACCUGCAUCAGCCGCCCCAGGCCUCCCUUGGGGCCUCUCCCUUCAAACCACAGCGUCCCCACCCCACCCCCACCCCAGGUGGGAUGCUGGCGGCUCAGCCUGGAGGGACCCUUCUAAUUUCCAGGAUAAACAGACUGUCAUCCUGGCCCAGCCCUCUGCGGGCUGGCUGCUCCCCGCCCCCUCAAUCCGCAGUGCACAGCCCGCUCUGUUCUCCUGCCAACUUGGCAGCUCACUGCUGCUGCUGUUACUAUCAACACCUCUGAGGGAAAAGGGAGAGAAGUCGGCUCUGAUCGCCUAGUGCACUGAGCAACAAAUUCACGUUGAGCCAGAGCACUCUGGAAUGUCUCCCAAGCUCCGAAGGCUCCGGGUGGGGCAAGGGCUCCCGGGACCCAGUCGUCAAGAACCAAGAACUUCAAGGACCCAAGGCACAGUGCGCUGAUAGAUCAGUCACCCAUGUCCUACAGGACCAAGAGGUGAUCUCUGUGCAGCCUUUCCCAGGAGGAAGGCCUUUCCAGCUUUCUCUCUGCUAGCUAAGGGAACUUCAGGCACCUCAAUGGGCUACAGACUACAGGGAUGAAGACGUGAAAACGAUGUCUUUAUACUGACUGGGUUGUGCUCUCCUCUGCCCUCUCCAGAUGUGCCCUCGCCCAGAUGUGAAACUGAUAGUAAGAUAAUUUCCAGCCCCAGGGAUCUGAAAGCCCUCACCUUCCUGCUAAGAACUACCCAGCUCCCCAGAAAACCUUCAUACUAUCCCGGGGCCUGGCCACAAGAAAGAACUCACUCUGCAGGCUGGAAUGGAAAUAAACCCUGAGAGGCUGUGCCAUUCCAGGCUGCACCUGUGAGCAGCCCCUCAGAUGAUGCCCUGUCAGCGUUUCCAUGACAAACUCGUAUUUCCGGAUGCUUCUCUUCCAGCUUGAAGAGCGUGCCUCUCGGCGAGGCUUGAUACUGAAAAUGCAUUCAUAAUUUUUUUCCCAAAAAAAGAUUGCACGCUCCAUAAAAAUUUACACUCUCCGUA
This is a long non-coding RNA of Peromyscus maniculatus bairdii (prairie deer mouse), 2126 nucleotides long. RefSeq lists it as uncharacterized. Lineage: Eukaryota; Metazoa; Chordata; Mammalia; Rodentia; Cricetidae. The record is from RefSeq and is a predicted model, not a curated record.